GGAGAGAUGGCGGAGGUGGUCGAUCGUGUCUGACUUGAAAUCAGAAGAACUUUAACAGGUUCCGUGGGUUCGAAUCCCACUCUCUCCU
Transfer RNA from Vitrella brassicaformis, 88 nucleotides. It matches the Rfam family "tRNA". From Rfam's summary of the family: Transfer RNA (tRNA) molecules are approximately 80 nucleotides in length. Their secondary structure includes four short double-helical elements and three loops (D, anti-codon, and T loops). The record is from Rfam. NCBI's taxonomy places the organism in Eukaryota, Vitrellaceae.